Syngnathus acus (greater pipefish) is the source of this 587-nucleotide long non-coding RNA. RefSeq lists it as uncharacterized. Lineage: Eukaryota; Metazoa; Chordata; Actinopteri; Syngnathiformes; Syngnathidae. The record is from RefSeq and is a predicted model, not a curated record. The transcript is spliced from 5 exons.
ACUGCGACAAUGGCGACUUCCUGUACAAGGACUCUUGCUAUCACUUUGAGGGAAUAGCGCGCCCUUGGGCGGGAGCCGAGAGGUUCUGCCAAGAAUGGAACGGUCACCUGACCAACGUCCUCUCAUGGGAAGAGCGCCAAUUCUUGGCUGCUCACGCGCCAUAUGUAGAAGGUUUGCAAUCUUGGGUGGGACUCAAGAAGAACAAGGGCAACUUUGAGUGGAGCGACUCAACACCUGCAGGCAACACCGAGUGGGUUCCAAACGGGCCGAUAGGACGUGGUAACUGUGCUGCCUUGUCGCAGACUGGGAAACUUGAGGACUGGCCAUGCACCAAAAACCAGCCAUUCAUCUGUAAAAAAGCCAAGGUCCAAGACUUUCUUCUUUCUCUGCCGCCACCAGGCCGGAGCGCAAAGUGCGGCUGGUGGCGGGAGCGGACCUCCUCCGACUUCUGCUACCUGAUCCAACGCAGGCCAACCAAGGUCUGGAAGGAGGCACGAGACGACUGCCGCCGCCGCGGAGGCGACCUGCUCAGUAUCACCGACUCACAAGAACAGGACUUCAUACAAAGUGGUCUGUCUGUCUGUCUG